AAGGCGUAUUCUGAAAAGCCUAAUAUCAAAAGAGUAAGAA
Non-coding RNA from Spinacia oleracea (spinach), 40 nucleotides. NCBI's taxonomy places the organism in Eukaryota, Viridiplantae, Streptophyta, Magnoliopsida, Caryophyllales, Amaranthaceae. The record is from Rfam.